GUUCCCCUUGUUUGUUGGAUCUUUUAUGCGGCUGAUGCUGAUGUUCAUUUCUUGUGAGUGAAAAUACUAUUAUAUGGUUAGAAAAGUAUGGCUGAUUCUAAUUGAUAAGUUCACGUGAAUCAGAUGGUAAGACUAACACAUACAAAUAAAAUCGAACCUAAAAAUGAUGAAAGUGACAUACGAUAGUAAUAUUUUAUUUAUAUAUUUGAUCAACUUUGGCCGGUAAAAGAAUGAUUGAUAGUAUGGUUGAUUUUCAUUUAUAUUUAGUGCUUCAUGCAUGUGCCACAAGAUUUGAUGUGACAGAAAAUCUUGAAAAGUUUUUGGUUUUUUGGGUGAACUAAAUAAGGCCUUAAUUGUUUCGCAACAAUGUUACUUUAUAAGGACAAAAUUUAUAUACUAUCAUAGUAGUACGAUUUGCAUUAUAACGAUCAGAAAUUGGUCAUUAUAAUCCAAGAUUUUUUUUUGCCUGUUGCCUCUUGGUAGAAGUGCAGCAUUUAUGUCUUGUGGAGAUAAAGGGAAAUUAUUCUCUGAUUGAGGAACCGAAUUUUUCUUUUGAUCGAAGUCUUUCUAUCUUGUGAAAAUUCAGGGACCUUAAAGUUUUUUUUUCAAAGUUUUACCCGUACGAUUUUCCUUAAAAAACAAAUAUUCCAUUCUAUAAUUUGCCUAGAUACAAAAUGAAAGAUAUUUUAGAUAUAGGGUCCGUUUAGUUUCCUCUCUUUGUCCUAACCUGGCUAGAAUUAUAGUCGGUAAGCCUUAGCAUACUCCCACCAAACCAAUCUAUGAUUGUUUAGUUGUUUGGUUUUCGUUGUAUAAAGUCACCUCUUAGGCCUUGUUUAGUUUCCAAAUAUUUUUAAGAUUAUCCGUCAUAUUGAAUUU
Molecule: long non-coding RNA, 876 nt
Filed under: Sorghum bicolor (sorghum)
Lineage: Eukaryota; Viridiplantae; Streptophyta; Magnoliopsida; Poales; Poaceae
Description: long non-coding RNA (SBIC_LNC016699)
Source: RNAcentral